Molecule: long non-coding RNA, 411 nt
Organism: Lepisosteus oculatus (spotted gar)
Lineage: Eukaryota; Metazoa; Chordata; Actinopteri; Semionotiformes; Lepisosteidae
Source: RefSeq, a predicted model, not a curated record
GCAAACUUCAAGGUUACUUAACUGCUGCCUUUGUUUGCUUUUUGCCAGGGAGCAAUGUGGACAGGUCACUAAAUCACAGACUAUAGAGGAACUACUGAUUGCAAUGAUGGGCCAGCAAACAACAGGCUGAAGUAGCCUGCUGGGUACUUGGAAGUUAGGAUAACUUCAUCGUCCAAUCCUCUGGUCCCCUGCUUACCACAUACCAACUGCUGGCAUUUCAACAGCUUUGAUACAUAUUUUAAAGGAUGCGGCACAUCAGAACUGUACUAAUCUUAGUUAAAAGGCAAGGCACUGUACACAGAUUUCAUUGCAGUGGCCUACUGACUUCUGGCGCAAAUCUCUGGAAAGGAGGUACAUGCAAGCUGUGCCUGGAUUGACAUGCUUAUUAAAGCUUAAACAUGUUAAAAAUGA